GUGCUCACUCCAGUGGCACAUAGAUUGACAUGGGAACCAUGCAGAGAUUAGCAUGGCCCCUGCACAAGGAUGACACAGAAAUUCAUGAAACAUUCUACAAGAAA
This is a small nuclear RNA of Pteronotus mesoamericanus, 104 nucleotides long. NCBI's taxonomy places the organism in Eukaryota, Metazoa, Chordata, Mammalia, Chiroptera, Mormoopidae. The record is from RefSeq and is a predicted model, not a curated record.